Long non-coding RNA from Dioscorea cayenensis subsp. rotundata (Guinea yam), 560 nucleotides. RefSeq lists it as uncharacterized. The record is from RefSeq and is a predicted model, not a curated record. NCBI's taxonomy places the organism in Eukaryota, Viridiplantae, Streptophyta, Magnoliopsida, Dioscoreales, Dioscoreaceae. The transcript is spliced from 3 exons.
UCUCCUUCAACUUCCCAUAAUUCUCCUCAAUCCCGCAUCAGUCGCAUAGUUAGUUAUUGUUACCUUCAAUGCUCUGGUGUUGAGACUUACAAUGAAAUCCUCAGGCACCACAUGAGUAAUAGUGAAGUUAGCAUUAAUUCUGAGUUGAUUAAAAUGGUGGCUCACUCAUCUCAAUUUUGGGAACAUUGUUGUUAGAGAAGAGGAACAAGAAGAGCUUGAGACUUUGCUGAGAGUAUCAUGUCCUUUGGAAGUGAAGGGGGAGCUACUGACAAACAUCGGGUGUGCCUUGAAUUAUUAGAUCAUUUGCCAAGAAGAAACUAAGAACUAUUCAAUGGGAUAUGAAACGAUGAUCCUUUUGUUGCAGAAAUGCCUCUUCUGUGACUUGGUUUUUGCAGAGGUUGUGACCAAUUCAUGUCAAAUGAAAGUAAGAUUUUUGAAUGUCUUGUUAAAGCAAUAAUUUCUUAUUGAAUGUUUGUAAACAAUGUUAGGAAGCAAUUUUUUUUUUAAUGUUUGUAAACAUUGUUUGAGAACAACCCUUGGUUUCAUUUCAUAUGUUCUUG